GGGGUCUCCAUUCUGCCGAUCAUUUUUCAAGUUUCCAACCAAAAUCAUUUCUCAAAUUCUGUAUCCAUUUUCUUCAGUUUUUGGCUCCAGCAAUCAAUUUCCAGCAAGUCUCUGUUGAUUUGAGUCGGAUCGUGUGCUGGCUCCACCUCCGAGGAAUUUCAGGUGUUCAAUUUCCAUUUGUAAUGUCUCUUUAUGUUCUAGUAGUAGUGAUAUUUGGAUUUUUUUUUUGUUAAGUUAAUUUUGGUCUUGUGUAGAGUUAACAGAACAGGUCCGAGCCCAAAAGCCCGCUUGUAUCAAUUUGAGUCCGUAACGAUCGGAGUUUGAGAAAA
Gossypium arboreum is the source of this 329-nucleotide long non-coding RNA. RefSeq lists it as uncharacterized. Lineage: Eukaryota; Viridiplantae; Streptophyta; Magnoliopsida; Malvales; Malvaceae. The transcript is spliced from 2 exons. The record is from RefSeq and is a predicted model, not a curated record.